This 240-nucleotide long non-coding RNA is filed under the name Gallus gallus (chicken). Lineage: Eukaryota; Metazoa; Chordata; Aves; Galliformes; Phasianidae. The record is from RNAcentral.
GGUUCGCUGGAGCGCUCACACCUCUCCUUCCUUGUGCACGUGUUGUGAAGCACACACCAUCCACAGUGAGGGUCUCCUGAGCCCAAGCACUCACUGCAGGUCUCGUAUUGGCUGCAGGACUCCACAGGCACCCGGGUGAGCUGCUUCUCAGACAUGAUAUAGAGGUGCUCGUGAUCCAUUGAGAAGGCCAUGUCCCGUAAGAUGGGUCCAGUGUCCACCACCUGCACUAUCUCAUACUCC